AUAAAGCCUUUCUUUCUCUCUCAUGCCAACCCAUUUUCUCUUCUUCUCCAAAACCCACGGCCAUAAAACCCUCAAAACCUACCCAUAGCCCCCAUUGCUUGGAGGAAGCUAUUGCCGGAAAAAGCUUAUGGAAGUCAUGCCGAAGAAGCCCCAUGGAAGCUAUGGUCAGUAAAGCCGAAGCCACCUCCAAGAAACUCCCGUGAAAAUCAUCUCUCUAGGUUUUGGUAAGAGCUACAUUCUUCAAUGUUGUGGAAAUUUGUUUAGAAGCUAUAGAAAUAAAAUAAAGGCCAAGUAUUAUAACCCUUAUAAUACAAAUGAGGAGAGAUUGUGCCAUCAACCUCCACACUUAUCAGAUGAUGAUUGGAGGUGGCUCAUCCACUUUUGGGGUACACUUGAGGCCAAGGAUAUCUCAGACAAAAACAAGGCAAAUAGGGCAAAGCAAGUGAUAAAGCAUACAUCAAGAUAAAAAAUUUAUGCUCAAAUUCGAUAUGAACAGGUUGAAAAUUUAUUAUUAAUAUGAUUUGUUUGUACAUAAAUAAUUCAUCAUAAAUAACUCUAUUGUUUUACUUGUAAGAAUAAGCACAAAAGAAGGAGGAUCGAAGUGAGCCCAAUAGAAUUGAGAUGUUUGCCUUGACACACACAAGAAAAGAUGAGACGCUUGUUGAUGAUCAUUCUAAGGAGAUUAUGGAUCAAUUUCAGCAAUUACUAUCCCAACCUAAGGGGACAUCUUCUUCUACUUCUGCAUCAUCUAGAGCAUCUACAUCUGUAGCAUUUACAUAUGUAGAUGAGAUAUAUACUUAAGUCAUGGGUCCAGAGAGGCAUGGUCGUGUUCGAGGGUAUGGAUUUGGUCCUACUCCUACCUCAAUCUUUGGUUCUACUAGUAGAAGGCGAUUAGGAGUUAUUCUUUCAACACAAAUUGAAAACGACCAAGAGAUGCUAAUAGCUGCAGAACAAAAGUUUACAACUGCAACUGAAGAACUCUCAAAUAUGAAAGAGGAACUCUCACAUGUGAAAGAAACAUUUGAAGAAAGGUUGAUAGAAGUUCAAAGGAAGACACGAGAAAAAGUGAAAGAAGAGUUUGAAGAAAAAAUGAUGGAAAUGCAAAGAAAAAUGCAAGCACAAAUGCAAGCACAAAUUCAAGAACAAAUGAUGCAACAAUUUUAGCAAAAGCAGUAGAAAUUUGAAGAUUUUGCUACAUCUUUAUAUGAUAGAUUCUCUUAACUUUUUUGAAAAUUAUGCUACUUAUUUAUAUGAUAGAUUCUUCUAACUUUUUUUUGCUUUCUAUGACUAUUAUGUAAUGUUUGGUUGAUUUGUUAUAUUAUGUUAGAAUGUGAAACUAAAUUUGAAUCUC
Vitis vinifera (wine grape) is the source of this 1351-nucleotide long non-coding RNA. RefSeq lists it as uncharacterized. NCBI's taxonomy places the organism in Eukaryota, Viridiplantae, Streptophyta, Magnoliopsida, Vitales, Vitaceae. The transcript is spliced from 4 exons. The record is from RefSeq and is a predicted model, not a curated record.